RNAcentral lists this ribosomal RNA (420 nucleotides) under uncultured bacterium. RNAcentral's name for it is "bacterial SSU rRNA". It matches the Rfam family "Bacterial small subunit ribosomal RNA", at positions 361 to 773 of the family's 1533-position model. The record is from RNAcentral.
AUUUUGGACAAUGGGGGAAACCCUGAUCCAGCCAUCCCGCGUGUGCGAUGAAGGCCUUCGGGUUGUAAAGCACUUUUGGCAGGGAAGAAACGGCGCGCCCGAAUACGGCGCGUCACUGACGGUACCUGCAGACUAAGCACCGCCUAACUACGUGCCAGCAGCCGCGGUAAUACGUAGGGUGCAAGCGUUAACCGGAAUUACUGGGCGUAAAGCGUGCGCAGGCGGUUCGGAAAGAAAGAUGUGAAAUCCCAGAACUUAACUUUGGAACUGCAUUUUUAACUGCCGAGCUAGAGUAUGUCAGAGGGGGGUAGAAUUCCACGUGUAGCAGUGAAAUGCGUAGAGAUGUGGAGGAAUACCGAUGGCGAAGGCAGCCCCCUGGGAUAAUACUGACGCUCAUGCACGAAAGCGUGGGGAGCAAAC